RNAcentral lists this ribosomal RNA (1665 nucleotides) under Triticum aestivum (bread wheat). RNAcentral describes it as "partial small subunit ribosomal RNA". Lineage: Eukaryota; Viridiplantae; Streptophyta; Magnoliopsida; Poales; Poaceae. The record is from RNAcentral.
AUGGCCAGUUGCAACAGUGAAGAGGCCAUAUGGAUGAUCAUUUAUAAAUUUGAUCAAUCAUCAUGCAAUGUCAUUGAGGUGCAGCCACCCGCUUCCCCACGCACAACGGGACGUGACGUCAUCCAUCUGCAGCCGUCCUCCUCUCCUAGCAGCUGGCAGCCCCGCCGGGCUGCUCCCUCGCCGACCGUGGAGCCUGAGCCGGUCACACCCGUCCACAUCCCGAUGUCAAGCCCGCCUGGGAGCCAGGCAGCGUCCGAUGUGCACUCCCCGCUGUUUGUGGCUCGUCAGCCACCCCUGCUUCCUGCACCUAGCUCCACGCCUCCAAGACGGCCCGCGGCUCGACGGAAGACGCUGGCAGGCGUUUCGGGCUUCAACCUGAGCAGGCGCAGUCCGCGUCUUCAGACCAAGAAGAGGGCGAUGCCGGUUGCACAGAUGGCAGAGAGGCUGCUCUGCCAACGCAUGGGCAUCAUCGACGAGGGCCAGCAGGUUACCGAAGAGGCCAUCGGCAAGUUCGUCGCCAUGUUCCAGGGGAGGCUGCCGGACAUCACAAUUUCUGCUCUUAGAGCCCUGUUCGACCUUGACUGCGACCUGGCGCAGGCAGUCGAAGAUGCGCUUGUGGAGCAUGGUGGUGAAGCUGGACCGGACCUGCAGCGGCCUGGAGAGGAGGUCGCCGAGGAGGCGGCAGUGUUCGCCUGUUUGCUGCUGGUCCUGGUGAUCGCUGCUACCUGCCCUGGCGAGGCUUACGUACAUGUUUGUUUGCUGUUGUCAAGUAAUUCUGCUCUAGUGACGCUUCCAUGUGUUCCUGAUGCUAGUUCUGCCAAGCUUGACCAUGUUGUAAUCUGCUAUCUGCUGUCAAGUAAUUCUGCUCUAGUGACGCUCCCACGUAUUCAUGAUGCUAGUUCUGUCAAGGAGACCAAGCUCCAGAAUGUCGACCCGUUCAUUGCUUCUUUUCUAGGGGGACAUCGGUUAAAGAGUUUUGCUCAACGCCCAUCUGUUGGCACUCGAGGCGGAAUCCUUCUUCUCUGGGACGAACAUUUUGUCAAAAUCCAAGAUGUAAACAUUGGUGCUUUCUUCCUCUCAGCCAAAGUCUCCCUAUCCUCGUCGGGUGAAUCCUUCAAGCUCACAACCGUGUACGGCCCGACGAGAAGCAACCUUAAAGAUGGCUUCUUCCAAGAAUUGCCCGAUCCUCUUGUCAUCUCCUCCCAAAUCCCUAGUUCCAAACUAGUCGUCGCCGGCCGCCUCGUGCCUCGCCAUUGCCAGCCGCUAUGGUCUCCAUUCUCACCAUGUCCUCCUCAAGCUCGAUCCAGUCAGGCCUCCGUGGCAGGGCAAUUGAAUUGCCGAUCAUCAUUUUCCCUUGACUAUGGCAAGCCGGUGAAGUUCUACAUCUCCACCACUGACGACCAGGACGGCUGGGUGUUUUACAAUUGCACCAAACACGGUUUUCCAGUUGCUCACUGGUUCCUUGUUGGUAAUGCUAGGAUUGAUACAGUUCGUGCAGCAGAGGGCAAGAAGGAAGAUCUUCAGCGUGCAAUAGAUGAAAGGGGUGGAAUGCAGCUAGUAGAGGCAAUGGAGCUCCAGUUAGAGCAACGGGCAGAAUCUAGCAAAGCCAUUCUUCUUGGAGGUGGUGCAUGUUAUAACCUGGGUGAUUUGGUGCAGAAGAAAUGA